Molecule: long non-coding RNA, 455 nt
Organism: Vicia villosa (hairy vetch)
Lineage: Eukaryota; Viridiplantae; Streptophyta; Magnoliopsida; Fabales; Fabaceae
Exons: 2
Source: RefSeq, a predicted model, not a curated record
AGAGUUUGCUUUAACAAUCAUCAAGAAACAUUUAACAAUAUUUUUAAAUUAAAAAAAUAUAUGAUUUUCACACUAUAAAGUAAUUGUAUAAAAUUUUAUUUCUACAUCCAAACAAGAGAAAAUAUGUCAGAAAUUCUCAAGUUUGUUUUUGUUAUGAUUAUUUUAUUUUUCAUAAUCAUUAUUGUAACCGAUGGAGCUUAUGUAUGCCUUUCUGAUAAAGAAUGUCGUCGUUUUGCCUGCAAAGCUCCUAAAACUUCAAGAUGCAUAGAUUUAUUUUGCAAAUGUUUGUAACUAAUUGUAGCAAAUAAAAUAAAGAAUAAUACUAUGGAACUUCUAAGAGAUUAUAAUUGUAUUUGAAAUUAUAGUGUUGGUACUCUAUUGAUUUCUCUCUCACUUUUAUCAAUGUUCAUCGAGCCUUCAAUUUUAUCGACAUAAAAGUAUUUUAUUUUACUAUA